ACAACGGCUCUUUUAGGAGCCACCAAGUGACACGGGAGUCGUGAC
Non-coding RNA from Nematostella vectensis (starlet sea anemone), 45 nucleotides. The record is from Rfam. Lineage: Eukaryota; Metazoa; Cnidaria; Anthozoa; Actiniaria; Edwardsiidae.